RNAcentral lists this ribosomal RNA (496 nucleotides) under uncultured bacterium. Its description in RNAcentral is "partial 16S ribosomal RNA". It matches the Rfam family "Bacterial small subunit ribosomal RNA", at positions 28 to 506 of the family's 1533-position model. The record is from RNAcentral.
GAUGAACGCUGGCGGCGUGCCUAAUACAUGCAAGUCGAGCGAACAGAUGAGGAGCUUGCUCCUCUGACGUUAGCGGCGGACGGGUGAGUAACACGUGGAUAACCUACCUAUAAGACUGGGAUAACUUCGGGAAACCGGUGCUAAUACCGGAUAAUAUAUUGAACCGCAUGGUUCAAUAGUGAAAGACGGUUUUGCUGUCACUUAUAGAUGGAUCCGCGCCGCAUUAGCUAGUUGGUAAGGUAACGGCUUACCAAGGCAACGAUGCUUAGCCGACCUGAGAGGGGGACAGGCAAAACGGGAACGGGGACACGGCCCAGACUCCAACGGGAGGCAGCAGUAGGGAAUUUUCAGCAAGGGGGGAAAGCCUAACGGAGCAACGCGGCGUGAGUGAGGAAGGUCUUGGGAUCGUAAAACUCUGUUAUUAGGAAAAAAAAAAUGAGGAAGUAACGAUGCACGUCUGGAGGGUACCUAAUCAGAAAGCCACGGCUAACUAGGU